UAGAGUUUGAUUCCUGGCUCAGGAUGAACGCUGGCGGCGUGCCUAAUACAUGCAAGUCGAGCGAAUGACGAGGAGCUUGCUCCUCUGAUUUAGCGGCGGACGGGUGAGUAACACGUGGGUAAUCUGCCUGUAAGACGGGGAUAACUCCGGGAAACCGGGGCUAAUACCGGAUAAUAAGAGAAGAAGCAUUUCUUCUUUUUGAAAGUCGGUUUCGGCUGACACUUACAGAUGAGCCCGCGGCGCAUUAGCUAGUUGGUGAGGUAACGGCUCACCAAGGCGACGAUGCGUAGCCGACCUGAGAGGGUGAUCGGCCACACUGGGACUGAGACACGGCCCAGACUCCUACGGGAGGCAGCAGUAGGGAAUCUUCGGCAAUGGGCGAAAGCCUGACCGAGCAACGCCGCGUGAGCGAUGAAGGCCUUCGGGUCGUAAAGCUCUGUUGUUAGAGAAGAACAAGUACGAGAGUAACUGCUCGUACCUUGACGGUACCUAACCAGAAAGCCACGCAAC
RNAcentral lists this ribosomal RNA (510 nucleotides) under Fictibacillus barbaricus. RNAcentral describes it as "bacterial SSU rRNA". It matches the Rfam family "Bacterial small subunit ribosomal RNA", at positions 1 to 501 of the family's 1533-position model. The record is from RNAcentral. Lineage: Bacteria; Bacillati; Bacillota; Bacilli; Caryophanales; Fictibacillaceae.